RNAcentral lists this ribosomal RNA (506 nucleotides) under uncultured bacterium. RNAcentral describes it as "partial 16S ribosomal RNA". It matches the Rfam family "Bacterial small subunit ribosomal RNA", at positions 29 to 523 of the family's 1533-position model. The record is from RNAcentral.
AGUGAACGCUGGCGGUAGGCCUAACACAUGCAAGUCGAACGGCAGCACAGGAGAGCCUGCUCUCUGGGUGGCGAGUGGCGGACGGGUGAGGAAUACAUCGGAAUCUACUUUUUCGUGGGGGAUAACGUAGGGAAACUUACGCUAAUACCGCAUACGACCUACGGGUGAAAGCAGGGGAUCUUCGGACCUUGCGCGGUUGAAUGAGCCGAUGUCGGAUUAGCUAGUUGGCGGGGUAAAGGCCCACCAAGGCGACGAUCCGUAGCUGGUCUGAGAGGAUGAUCAGCCACACUGGAACUGAGACACGGUCCAGACUCCUACGGGAGGCAGCAGUGGGGAAUAUUGGACAAUGGGCGCAAGCCUGAUCCAGCCAUACCGCGUGGGUGAAGAAGGCCUUCGGGUUGUAAAGCCCUUUUGUUGGGAAAGAAAUCCAGCUGGUUAAUACCCGGUUGGGAUGACGGUACCCAAAGAAUAAGCACCGGCUAACUUCGUGCCAGCAGCCGCCGUAA